Molecule: ribosomal RNA, 250 nt
Filed under: uncultured bacterium
Lineage: Bacteria
Description: partial 16S ribosomal RNA
Rfam family: Bacterial small subunit ribosomal RNA
Source: RNAcentral
UACAGAGGGUGCGAGCGUUAAUCGGAAUUACUGGGCGUAAAGGGCGCGUAGGCGGUUAUAUAAGUUAGAUGUGAAAUCCCCGGGCUUAACCUGGGAAUGGCAUUUAAUACUGUAUGACUAGAGUAGAGUAGAGGGAAGUGGAAUUUCCGGUGUAGCGGUGAAAUGCGUAGAUAUCGGAAAGAACACCAGUGGCGAAGGCGGCUUCCUGGACUCAUACUGACGUUGAGGCGCGAAAGCGUGGGUAGCAAAC